RNAcentral lists this ribosomal RNA (816 nucleotides) under uncultured bacterium. RNAcentral describes it as "bacterial SSU rRNA". It matches the Rfam family "Bacterial small subunit ribosomal RNA", at positions 8 to 796 of the family's 1533-position model. The record is from RNAcentral.
AGAGUUUGAUCAUGGCUCAGAACGAACGCUGGCGGCGUGCCUAACACAUGCAAGUCGUACGAGAACUUCAGGCUUCGGCCUGAUUAGUAAAAGUGGCGCACGGGUGAGUAACGCGUGGGUAACCUACCCCUAAACCAGGAAUAACUACUCGAAAGGGUAGCUAAUACCGGAUAAUAUCUCUCGAUCUUCGGAUCGAAAGACCAAAGGUGGCCUCUCUGUAGAAGCUACCGUUUAGGGAUGGGCCCGCGUACCAUUAGCUUGUUGGUAGGGUAAUGGCCUACCAAGGCUGUGAUGGUUAGCUGGUCUGAGAGGAUGAUCAGCCACACUGGAACUGGAACACGGUCCAGACUCCUACGGGAGGCAGCAGUGAGGAAUCUUGCGCAAUGGGGGAAACCCUGACGCAGCAACGCCGCGUGAGUGAAGAAGGCCUUCGGGUCGUAAAGCUCUGUCAGGUGGGAAGAAACGUUUGACGCAAACAACGUCAUUCGCUGACGGUACCACCAGAGGAAGCACCGGCUAACUCCGUGCCAGCAGCCGCGGUAAUACGGAGGGUGCAAGCGUUGUUCGGAAUUACUGGGCGUAAAGGGCGUGUAGGUGGUUAACUAAGUCAGGUGUGAAAGCCCUCGGCUCAACCGGGGAAGCGCAUCUGAAACUGGUCAACUUGAGUACGGGAGAGGAGAGUGGAAUUCCUGGUGUAGAGGUGAAAUUCGCAGAUAUCAGGAGGAACACCGGUGGCGAAGGCGACUCUCUGGACCGAUACUGACACUGAGACGCGAAAGCGUGGGGAGCAAACAGGAUUAGAUACCCUAGUAGUCC